CACGAUCGUGGACGAGGGGGGAUUGUAGAGGGGUGAGGACGGCGGCGCUAGGGUUGAUCGCCGGAGGAGAACGGACGCUGGAGGGGAGACCGAACACCGAGAUCCGGCCGGCCGCGAAGGAAGGCCACUCUCCUUCGAAAGAGAUUCCCACGGGUGAAGAGAUCUCGGCCGUGCGCGUUGAUCCGAGUUGCUCACGGAUUCUUCCACCAUCUCUCGCCGGAAAGGUCGCCGGAGCUCCGUCGGGCUGAGGUAAGCAUAGCUCGCCCUUUUGUACUUCCUUUGCUAGGGUUAGGGAUGUGUUGGAUUGGAGAUUUGGCCGGUGAAGCCGUCGAAGAGGGAUCCGAAACAGGGUACCCCUGUUUCGGCCCCUUUCUUUUGGAUUUCGCCACCGCCGGCCGCCGGGAUUGGCCGAGGUCCAUGGCGGUGGGGUGGUCGAGAUAGAGGAGAUUUGGAGUAGGGUUCUAGGGCUUUGAUUGGAGAUGGGGGAUGGCGGAUCCGAGGCCUUCCUCCUCGUGAUCCCGUCCCUUCCUCCUCUCCCUCCGCGUGGGUUGGCCACCGGCGGCGACGACAGCGGUCGGGGGGAAGGCAGCUUGGGUUGUCGUCGGGUGUGGGGGGAGAGAGGCUGAGCCACCACCUCGGUGGUUCAUCUGUUGAUGAUGGAGGGGAGGGAAGAAAGAAAGAAAGAAAGAAAGAAAGAAAAAGAAGAAGAAGAAGA
RNAcentral lists this long non-coding RNA (715 nucleotides) under Phoenix dactylifera (date palm). RNAcentral's name for it is "long non-coding RNA (PDAC_LNC018292)". Lineage: Eukaryota; Viridiplantae; Streptophyta; Magnoliopsida; Arecales; Arecaceae. The record is from RNAcentral.